This 71-nucleotide transfer RNA is filed under the name Pseudomonadota bacterium. RNAcentral describes it as "tRNA-Gln". It matches the Rfam family "tRNA". From Rfam's summary of the family: Transfer RNA (tRNA) molecules are approximately 80 nucleotides in length. Lineage: Bacteria; Pseudomonadati; Pseudomonadota. RNAcentral also lists the same sequence under 1 other name. The record is from RNAcentral.
UGGGGGAUAGUUCAACGGCAGAACGACAGGUUCUGGCCCUGUUAAUCUUGGUUCGAAUCCAGGUCCCCCAG